GUGGCCACAGGCACUGUUGCCCUCUCGACUGGACGGCCGUGAUCAGAGACGUGGUCACAAUGGCAGGUUUGGGUGAUGUAGCCAGUCCCUCCAUGACCUCCGAGACAGACCCGCCGCCUUGAGCAGAGGGGACACACAGCGGCCCCUGGCGCGAGAAGUCAUGUGUGAGCACAAAGUCAUGUCCCGGAGGGCAGGUCAGCCUGGGACGACGAACACAGGUACAACCACCACUGUCAACACCUCAGGAGACCCCACAGGGCUCCUCAGGUGAAUCUCCCGCAGGCGCAUUCGCCCCCAGGGGAUACGCACAAGGCCUCGCAAACAUCACCCAGCCCGCCAGGGACCCUGAACACCCGCCAUGGUCCUGUGAAACCGCGGCCCAGACAUGAGCACCAACGCCUCUCAUCCAGGCAUCAGACUUCCAGAUGGGCGAGCAAGCUCGGAGACAGACUCCUGCCAGGGCCACCGUGGCGCAUCAAACCUGGCUGCCAUCUGGGGGCAUCUGGCCGCGAGACGAGUGGUUCUCAAGGAAGGGAGGCAAAAGUGGAACAAACAGGCAGGGGAGAUGCCCACACUCGAGUGUACUUGUCCCACGAGCCACGUUCGAAGACCACAUCACGAGGUGCGUGUGCCGGACUGGCUCUCUCCGUGCAGGACUGUGUCUCAGCUGUCAUUCACCUGGUGGUAGAGACCACCUCUCAGGCGGACUGUGCCAGAAGUGAGCAUCACGCGGCAGUGUGUGCCCCCUUUCUGUCACGCACAACCCGGGGACCCCUGAGGAAGUGCAGAGCUCUUUAGAGUAAAAUGGUGCAGCCGCCCGGAACAUACCGGGAAUCUAAAUGAAGUAAUACUGAAG
Molecule: long non-coding RNA, 856 nt
Filed under: Felis catus (domestic cat)
Lineage: Eukaryota; Metazoa; Chordata; Mammalia; Carnivora; Felidae
Description: lncRNA (ENSFCAG00000053024.1)
Source: RNAcentral